CCAUGUCAUAGGCCUUAUCUAACAAAGAUUCCAUGUAUCUAUAUUGUGCUUCCUUGCGCAUCUGAACAUGAUUCUCAACCUGCUUUCAAGAGAGAGGAAAUUUUAGGCACAUCACAGUAAGAUGGAUAAAGCAGUCAAUUUUUGCAUGGUUAAGAUGAGGAUUCUGCAAUUACUAUGUUAGGAAUGUUCAUGUAGUAUUAUUAUCUCUCAACAAAAGCAAGAAAUGCAGAGAAAUAUUUACCUGAAUCUUUUUCAGGGCUCUUCUGCUAGUUCCUGUCUGACUUGAUUCCGCUGAACAGAUUUCCUUUCCCCUACACAUUUAUUACCUGAAGUAAGACAAAGUAUUUAAUGUUUAUUCUUAUGUUCAUGAAACAAGCAGAACUACUCUAUCAUCUUACUUGGUGGCAUGAGUGGGGAAAAUAAUGGGGAACAGGGUUCCAUUUUUCAUGAAUUCAUGUUGUUGUCCAAAG
RNAcentral lists this long non-coding RNA (470 nucleotides) under Musa acuminata (dwarf banana). Its description in RNAcentral is "long non-coding RNA (MACU_LNC002223)". Lineage: Eukaryota; Viridiplantae; Streptophyta; Magnoliopsida; Zingiberales; Musaceae. The record is from RNAcentral.